RNAcentral lists this ribosomal RNA (719 nucleotides) under uncultured bacterium. RNAcentral's name for it is "bacterial SSU rRNA". It matches the Rfam family "Bacterial small subunit ribosomal RNA", at positions 63 to 819 of the family's 1533-position model. The record is from RNAcentral.
CGAACGAGUUGAGAGCUUGCUUUUUAAGUAGUGGCGAACGGGUGAGUAACGCGUGAGUACCUGCCCUAGAGUGGGGGACAACAGUUGGAAACGACUGCUAAUACCGCAUAAGGCCGCAUGACAAAAGAUUUAUCGCUUUAGGAUGGACUCGCGUCCAAUUAGCUAGUUGGUGAGGUAACGGCCCACCAAGGCGACGAUUGGUAGCCGGACUGGGAGGUUGAACGGCCACAUUGGGACUGAGACACGGCCCAGACUCCUACGGGAGGCAGCAGUGGGGGAUAUUGCACAAUGGGGGAAACCCUGAUGCAGCAACGCCGCGUGAAGGAAGAAGGUCUUCGGAUUGUAAACUUCUGUCCUCAGGGAAGAUAAUGACGGUACCUGAGGAGGAAGCUCCGGCUAACUACGUGCCAGCAGCCGCGGUAAUACGUAGGGAGCAAGCGUUGUCCGGAUUUACUGGGUGUAAAGGGUGCGUAGGCGGAUCUGCAAGUCAGUAGUGAAAUCCCAGGGCUUAACCCUGGAACUGCUAUUGAAACUGUGGGUCUUGAGUGAGGUAGAGGCAGGCGGAAUUCCCGGUGUAGCGGUGAAAUGCGUAGAGAUCGGGAGGAACACCAGUGGCGAAGGCGGCCUGCUGGGCCUUAACUGACGCUGAGGCACGAAAGCAUGGGUAGCAAACAGGAUUAGAUACCCUGGUAGUCCAUGCCGUANACGAUGAUUACUAG